This 339-nucleotide unclassified non-coding RNA is filed under the name soil metagenome. RNAcentral describes it as "partial contains 5.8S ribosomal RNA, internal transcribed spacer 2, and large subunit ribosomal RNA". The stretch from base 1 to 120 matches the Rfam family "5.8S ribosomal RNA", at positions 35 to 154 of the family's 154-position model. The record is from RNAcentral.
GAUGAAGAACGUAGCGAAAUGCGAUAAGUAAUGUGAAUUGCAGAAUUCAGUGAAUCAUCGAAUCUUUGAACGCACAUUGCGCCCCCUGGUAUUCCGGGGGGCAUGCCUGUCCGAGCGUCAUUGCUGCCCUCAAGCACGGCUUGUGUGUUGGGCUCCGUCCCCCCGGGGACGGGCCCGAAAGGCAGCGGCGGCACCGAGUCCGGUCCUCGAGCGUAUGGGGCUUUGUCACCCGCUCUGUAGGCCCGGCCGGCGCCAGCCGACAACCCAUCAUCCUUUUCAGGUUGACCUCGGAUCAGGUAGGGAUACCCGCUGAACUUAAGCAUAUCAAUAAGCGGAGGA